This 501-nucleotide ribosomal RNA is filed under the name uncultured bacterium. Its description in RNAcentral is "bacterial SSU rRNA". It matches the Rfam family "Bacterial small subunit ribosomal RNA", at positions 30 to 524 of the family's 1533-position model. The record is from RNAcentral.
AUUGAACGCUGGCGGCAUGCCUUACACAUGCAAGUCGAACGGUAACAGGUCUUCGGAUGCUGACGAGUGGCGAACGGGUGAGUAAUACAUCGGAACGUGCCCGAUCGUGGGGGAUAACGCAGCGAAAGCUGUGCUAAUACCGCAUACGAUCUACGGAUGAAAGCGGGGGAUCGCAAGACCUCGCGCGGACGGAGCGGCCGAUGGCAGAUUAGGUAGUUGGUGGGAUAAAAGCUUACCAAGCCGACGAUCUGUAGCUGGUCUGAGAGGACGACCAGCCACACUGGGACUGAGACACGGCCCAGACUCCUACGGGAGGCAGCAGUGGGGAAUUUUGGACAAUGGGCGCAAGCCUGAUCCAGCCAUGCCGCGUGCAGGAUGAAGGCCUUCGGUGUAAACUGCUUUGUACGGUAACGAAAAAGACUACUCUCUAAUACAGGGGUGAAGUGACGGUACCGUAAGAAUAAGACACCGGCUAACUAACGUGCCAGCAGCCGCGGUAAU